CCUACGGGGGGCAGCAGUGAGGAAUAUUGGUCAAUGGAGGCAACUCUGAACCAGCCAAGUAGCGUGAAGGAUGACGGCCCUAUGGGUUGUAAACUGCUUUUAUACGGGGAUAAACUGAGUCACGUGUGGCUUAUUGCAGGUACCGCAUGAAUAAGGACCGGCUAAUUCCGUGCCAGCAGCCGCGGUAAUACGGAGGGUCCGGGCGUUAUCCGGAUUUAUUGGGUUUAAAGGGAGCGCAGGGCGCCUCUUAAGCGUGUUGUGAAAGGCUGCGGCUCAACCGUUGCAGUGCAGCGCAAACUGGGAGGCUUGAGUGUGGCUGAGGUAGGCGGAAUUCGUGGUGUAGCGGUGAAAUGCUUAGAUAUCACGAAGAACUCCGAUUGCGAAGGCAGCUUACCGUAGCGUUACUGACGCUGAGGCUCGAAGGUGCGGGUAUCGAACAGGAUUAGAUACACCGGUAGUC
This 460-nucleotide ribosomal RNA is filed under the name uncultured bacterium. RNAcentral's name for it is "partial 16S ribosomal RNA". It matches the Rfam family "Bacterial small subunit ribosomal RNA", at positions 338 to 795 of the family's 1533-position model. The record is from RNAcentral.